AGAUUGAACGCUGGCGGCAUGCUUUACACAUGCAAGUCGAACGGUAACGCGGGGGCAACCCUGGCGACGAGUGGCGAACGGGUGAGUAAUACAUCGGAACGUGCCCAGUAGUGGGGGAUAGCUCGGCGAAAGCCGGAUUAAUACCGCAUACGACCUACGGGUGAAAGCGGGGGAUCGCAAGACCUCGCGCUAUUGGAGCGGCCGAUGGCAGAUUAGCUUGGUUGGUGGGGUAAAAACGCCUACCAAGGCGACGAUCUGUAGCUGGUCUGGAGAGGACGACCAGCCACACUGGACUGAGACACGGCCCAGACUCCACGGGAGCAGCAGGUGGGAAGUUUGGACAAGUGGGCGCAAGCCUAGAUCCAGGCAAUCGCCGCGUGUGUGAUGGAAGCCGUU
Molecule: ribosomal RNA, 396 nt
Filed under: uncultured soil bacterium
Lineage: Bacteria
Description: bacterial SSU rRNA
Rfam family: Bacterial small subunit ribosomal RNA
Source: RNAcentral